RNAcentral lists this non-coding RNA (170 nucleotides) under marine eukaryotic metagenome. Its description in RNAcentral is "Ruegeria cis52 sRNA". It matches the Rfam family "Ruegeria cis52 sRNA". From Rfam's summary of the family: Cis-encoded. The record is from RNAcentral.
CGCAAUGCGUGCUUCAAAACGAUAUUAUGAAAUUUUACGCCUUUGAGACGCGCGGUACGAAUAUAUUGAGUUGUCAUGACCUCUGCCAUAGAAGCACGCGUCAUCCGCGCAAUAUAGCCCAUGCCAUAAAGUGCCAUCGUCAUCACCGGCAAGGUAAAGUUGGCAAAGGU